RNAcentral lists this ribosomal RNA (202 nucleotides) under uncultured bacterium. RNAcentral's name for it is "partial 16S ribosomal RNA". It matches the Rfam family "Bacterial small subunit ribosomal RNA", at positions 1300 to 1500 of the family's 1533-position model. The record is from RNAcentral.
GUAGGCUGCAACCCGCCUGCGUGAAGUUGGAAUUGCUAGUAAUCGCGGAUCAGCAUGCCGCGGUGAAUACGUUCCCGGGCCUUGUACACACCGCCCGUCACACCAUGGGAGCCGGUAAUGCCCGAAGUCAGUAGCCUAACCGCGAAGGGGGGCGCUGCCGAAGGUAGGAUUGGCGACUGGGGUGAAGUCGUAACAAGGUAGC